CGCCAAUGGGAGAAAGCCCGCGGGCCGGGCCGAUGAGGCACACGGACCACACGAGCGCGGCGGCGGCGACAGCGGCGGGCCAGGCAAGAGCACAACAUGGCGGCGAGCAGGCCGGACCGAGCUACAGCAGCGGCCGCGCGAGGAAGUGAGCCUCUGGUAAUCACCAUUCUAGUUUCACCUUUUGGCCACUAUGAAUGAUGCUUCUGUGGACAUUAGUAUACAAAUAUCUGCUGGAGUCCCUGCUUUUGAUUGUUUGGGGUAUAUACCCAGAAGUGAAGUUGCUGGAUUAUAUGCCCUGGCGGAGAAUGUGAAGAUAAGGCCAGAGGGAACAUUGAGAAGAAGGAUCUCAGAGAAGAUGGAAAAUUCAACAGAACCUUGGAAAUGCAACUGCUAUUCCAGGACCUUUGUUCCUGGAAUGGACUCUGAGAGUGCAUGAUGCAGCUUGGAGGAUGUCUCCUCUGGGAUCCCUCCCCGCUGCCCCACCCCUUCACAGGGUGAAUGAGUCCUCUGUAGCUAUCAGGAUUUGCUGUAUCAGGAGUGUUCCUCUGCUGUCACCUGUGAUGACCAUUUUCCUCAAUUCAGAAUCCCCAGCACCUGCAAAAGGCCUGGAUCAAGAAGGGGCAUGAGCAGGAACAGAGGAUUGCAGUUCUUAGGAUGGCCACGCGAGGGAAGUGGUGAGCAGCCUCCAGGAGGACUUCGGAUCUGCUGUGCCAAGGCACCUGCUGAGGACCCAGAUGGCCCGCCUGGGGUUUCCGGGGCUUCCCGGCCCCUGAACAUGUGGGCGCAGGCCAGAGCGCCGCAGGAGAAGCCUCUUCCAGGUGCUCGGUCUCGACUCUCACAGCCCCAGCCAUCCCUCCUGCUUGUCCCCGUCUUGGCUUGGAGGGGCUGGAGGGCAGGAGGGGACAGAGUGGGGGCCAACCAGGAUAUAUCCCCUCCAUUUUGUCAUUUGUCUUUCAAACUGGUUUAUGGCUAUUUCUUCUGUAUAGAAGUCUUGUAGUCAAACAUUUCCAUGUUUUCUCUUAUGGCUUCUAGGUUUCAUCAUGCUUAGAAAGUCUUUUCCAUCUCCAAGAUAAUUAAAAUAUUCACUUGUCUCUUUUCUGAUACAUUAUAGUGUUAAA
Non-coding RNA from Macaca mulatta (Rhesus monkey), 1118 nucleotides. Lineage: Eukaryota; Metazoa; Chordata; Mammalia; Primates; Cercopithecidae. The record is from RefSeq and is a predicted model, not a curated record.